UUUUAAGGUUCGAGAUUAUAGGUUAAUGGGAAAUUCUUUUAGCCAAAAUUAAAUGGGGUAAUUCCUUAGACAAUAUGUAAAUGACAAAGAAGUAUACAUCAGAGACACAAUGGAAGGACGAUCCAUAAGAUAUCAAUGGGAAUUUUGCUAAGUCUAGGGAAGUUUUCACACAAUGGAAGGACGAUCCAUAAGAUCUCAAUGGGAAUUGUGCCGAGUGUAGGGAAGUUAUAAUUUGUUGAGUGAGUAGUCUCCGCAAUCCGGGAUGAUCAGUAGGACUUCGAAAGGAACUAUACUAGGGAUUGGGACGGUCAUAUUUUGCUGAGACGUCCCUGAUAAUCACGACGAUGCUACUCGUGAAAGAAGUCAAACAGAUAAUUGUAGAUAGGCUUCUCGACGCAUCUUUGCCUUCUUAAUUUUUUAGGGUUUGCUCUCUGGUGGCCAUGAAAGUUGCGAGCAGAGAAUCAGAAGUGCGCUCUCAGGCCGCUUGCCUCACCUUGACUAAGGAGGGUUUUAAGAGAUUUCGAGCCUCUUCCUCCAUCCGCCCGUUUGACUUUGAUCCGGUCAAACUCAAAUUUUGCAAAAGGUUCAGGAAACGUUUAGAAGAGGAGAAGGGAUAUCGAUUACCAUACUCCCCCCUAAUGAUCGAGGUGGAUUUCUUCGAGUAUCUAAUUAAUUUCUUUGCUGGGAACUGCAAAAGGAAGUCUACUUGGAGCCACCUCCUUGUUACUACUAUGGACAUUAUACUUUGUUGAUGCUUUUAUGCCCUUAUGUCAUGUUCCAAAGAAUAUUCAGCAAAUUGCAGCUGAUUGGAUAGUUAAGCUAGGUUGAGAUGCUAUAAUAAUAGUGAAGAAUUUGUCUGGCCGGCAUUGCAAUGUAGCCUUGCUGCCCUUAAGAUGGAACAAGGAGCCACUACAGUCUUAGGUUGUUCGAAUCAAGCAUCAAAAUCAUGGUCCAAGGAAGCAGCAACGCUUGUGGUUAUUUCUUUGGUUUUACCGAAGAAACCUGAUAUACUGAUGAUUCUCUGGGUAUACUGAUGAUUCUCUUACCAAAACUGAAGUUUGAAUGGAAUUGUUGUGGAGAAGAUGAACUCUUAUUAACUCUAUGGAUGGUUGGGCAGGUUUGUGAAGAAGAUUUGGUUGUGGGGGUGCACACGUUGGCACAACUUCUCUUGCCUAGGGCUUUGGGCAAGUCAAGUGACCAUUUUUCUAGGACCAAGGUUUUUUAUUUUCUUGAGAGAAUUUAUGAGCGCCCAAAUGCAAUGUCUGACUUAGUGUGGGAAGGACAAGAGAGGGUGGAAAUUGCUUCCUCCGCUGCUCAAAUAUUUGUUGAACACUACUCACUUGAGACCUUCACACACACAGGUUGAAGAGGUUACCGAAAAGCUGAAUGCGGAUUAUCCAUUAUUGGAGCUGGCUCUUGAAACGUGCUUCCCCCUUAAAAGUUCAUAUGAUGGAUGGGCAAGAGAAGCAAAACUUUUUGGGUUGACACUCAACAUUUUAAGUCAAAAAAACCAAACAUUCUCUGAUGAAUGGAUCAACAUUUUUAUCUGGUUCUUGGGAAACAGUGAAUCGUGUUACUCGUUGUGGGAAAAACUUUUUGAGGGGCACAUUCAUGAAAGUACAUUUAUUGUACAAAGGAUAUUGGAGAGAUUGGAGGAAGAGAAUUUUUGUGAGGCCGUUAGUCUUGAAAGACUCGAGGGGAUUAUGGAAUUCAGGAGGAUAAAGAACAAAGAAUUUUUGGAGAGGACAAAGUCCUCUGGCUUUGAAGCUUCGAUUUUGGCUGUAGAGGAGCCCUGCUAGAUAAUUAAUGGAAUUCAUCGGAGCUGCGGUAACUAAAUCUGGGUUUGCUUGUGGGUUUGACAUUUUAUAUAGUGACCAUGUUACUGUAUUUUAAAAUGUAUACUGACUGGAAGGUUUGGUGUUGGAGAUUGUAAAGACGAGUUGGAUCGGGACUCAGCAUGGUCCCAAUCGUAGUCCUUUUUGACUCAGCUGAGUCUCAAUAGAAACAGCGAGAGUCACUAUUUUCAGGUUGAUCCUGCAGGGCUCCAUGUCUCGAGUA
Molecule: non-coding RNA, 2058 nt
Organism: Amborella trichopoda
Lineage: Eukaryota; Viridiplantae; Streptophyta; Magnoliopsida; Amborellales; Amborellaceae
Source: RefSeq, a predicted model, not a curated record